GUGGGGAAUAUUGGACAAUGGGCGAAAGCCUGAUCCAGCAAUGCCGCGUGAGUGAUGAAGGCCUUAGGGUUGUAAAGCUCUUUUACCAGGGAUGAUAAUGACAGUACCUGGAGAAUAAGCUCCGGCUAACUCCGUGCCAGCAGCCGCGGUAAUACGGAGGGAGCUAGCGUUGUUCGGAAUUACUGGGCGUAAAGCGCACGUAGGCGGUUACUCAAGUCAGAGGUGAAAGCCCGGGGCUCAACCCCGGAACUGCCUUUGAAACUAGGUAGCUAGAAUCUUGGAGAGGUCAGUGGAAUUCCGAGUGUAGAGGUGAAAUUCGUAGAUAUUCGGAAGAACACCAGUGGCGAAGGCGACUGACUGGACAAGUAUUGACGCUGAGGUGCGAAAGCGUGGGGAGCAAACAGGAUUAGAUACCCGAGUAGUCC
RNAcentral lists this ribosomal RNA (425 nucleotides) under uncultured bacterium. RNAcentral describes it as "partial 16S ribosomal RNA". It matches the Rfam family "Bacterial small subunit ribosomal RNA", at positions 354 to 796 of the family's 1533-position model. The record is from RNAcentral.